Rana temporaria (common frog) is the source of this 593-nucleotide long non-coding RNA. RefSeq lists it as uncharacterized. Lineage: Eukaryota; Metazoa; Chordata; Amphibia; Anura; Ranidae. The transcript has 3 exons. The record is from RefSeq and is a predicted model, not a curated record.
UUUCUUUCCUUCCAAGUUUAAUUCAUUAUUCACAACAAUCUGGAUGUGAUACUUUGUUGCCACUUGCAGACUCUGUGAAAAUAUACUUUUUACUCACUUAUCUGUCAACAAUGAGGAAAUAUAUUUUUUCCUGGAUUGACUUUCUUUCUUUUAUUUCUCACUAUUCAGUAUCUGGACUAUACAGUUCUCCUGGGCAAUUUAUCUGCCCUAUUUCCGGCAGUUAUUAUUGCAACUAGAAUCAGUAUAGUAUUGACAGAAAUCUCUUGGGAUGAAUUAUAUCCAUCUCUUCUGAGACUACCUCAUCAUCAAUCUUCCCAUUUUUUCUAUCAUCAUUUUAAUCAGUACCUGCUUGCCUCCGGCUCCUCUUCCUCUAUAGGCUUGCAUCCAGGCUCUGUGCAUUGCACGGCGAUCCUACCCGCAUGCUUAAGAGGAUCAUUUCCUCUUUUUCCCAUCCCUCCUUCCAUCUAUCUGGGAUUCUCCAUCUGGGACUUUGAGCCAAUCACGGCCAAUCAUUCAGGGUUGUUUUAGUCCAUUUUUACAGGUAAAUAUAUUCUUUACAAUUAUUAUUUAUUUUUUUCGUUAAAGUCCACAGC